Molecule: ribosomal RNA, 460 nt
Filed under: uncultured bacterium
Lineage: Bacteria
Description: partial 16S ribosomal RNA
Rfam family: Bacterial small subunit ribosomal RNA
Source: RNAcentral
CCUACGGGAGGCAGCAGUGAGGAAUAUUGGUCAAUGGACGAGAGUCUGAACCAGCCAAGUAGCGUGAAGGAUGACUGCCCUAUGGGUUGUAAACUUCUUUUAUAUGGGAAUAAAAUGUUCCACGUGUGGGAUUUUGUAUGUACCAUAUGAAUAAGGAUCGGCGAACUCCGUGCCAGCAGCCGCGGUAAUACGGAGGAUCCGAGCGUUAUCCGGAUUUAUUGGGUGUAAAGGGAGCGUAGGUGGAUUGUUAAGUCAGUUGUGAAAGUUUGCGGCUCAACCGUAAAAUUGCAGUUGAAACUGGCAGUCUUGAGUACAGUAGAGGUGGGCGGAAUUCGUGGUGUAGCGGUGAAAUGCUUAGAUAUCACGAAGAACUCCGAUGGCGAAGGCAGUUCACUGGACUGCAACUGACACUGAGGCUCGAAAGUGUGGGUAUCAAACAGGAUUAGAUACCCUUGUAGUC